Long non-coding RNA from Pristis pectinata (smalltooth sawfish), 859 nucleotides. RefSeq lists it as uncharacterized. Lineage: Eukaryota; Metazoa; Chordata; Chondrichthyes; Rhinopristiformes; Pristidae. The transcript is spliced from 5 exons. The record is from RefSeq and is a predicted model, not a curated record.
GAAGGGAGGAACGAAAUAGGGGGGCUCGUUCAUCUUGUGCAAGUUGCUGAGAGGAGACCAGCUGUCAUUGAAGGGACGAGACAUAAAUAGGGAACAUCGAUUCAAAGUACAUGCAGGCAAGAAAGUUCCCUCAAAGGUGUGGAAGUCCCCACAUACAAUACUGAAGACUUGUUGAUAGAUGAAAGUCCUCGUGUCUUGUUCCCCAUUGUUUCUGAUGAUCCCCUUCAGGAUGUUGGCCAAAUUGAAUCGGGCCCACCUCUGUGAUGUCAUUCUCUUUUUAAGGAAGAAUUACUUGAAACAGGAAGCGGGAUCAUACUGUUUACCGAACAUGGUGUACUGUACUUCUGUGUGGUGGUGAUCCAGAAACCUUUCUAGUCCAACGACAAUUCUGCACUACGUAAAUUUUGCCAAGAUGUGCCAAGUGGGCUGGAAUCAAGAUUGUGAAGCGAAAGUACUAAGGUCUCCUCCCUCCAGAUCACAGCAGCAUUGUUGUCUGUCCAAUGAGGAAUAUGAUAAGCCUGCUUUUGAGCCUCUUAUCGUGCUUCUACGUAUCUGAUCACAAGAAGGCAGGCAAGGAGAAUUCACCUUCCCAUUCAAGAGCACAUUUCCUUUUGAGAUGAAUUUUUAACCAGUCUCCUAUCUGUUGGCUUUGAUUUUGUCAAUGGUUAUCAUGUGUAAGUUAUGCAUAAUUUAUUUAAAUUUAAGUUUAUGUUAACUUGUGUUUAUCCUCGUCUUGUAAUGUAGUGUGCUUCUACCAAAAGCUGAUUUUCAUGGCAUUUAUACCCUGCUUAUGUAUGCCUAUGACGACAAUACACUUGAACUUGAUCUGGAAAUGGGAAAAUGAGCUCAUGAGCAACAA